Molecule: ribosomal RNA, 253 nt
Filed under: uncultured bacterium
Lineage: Bacteria
Description: partial 16S ribosomal RNA
Rfam family: Bacterial small subunit ribosomal RNA
Source: RNAcentral
UACGUAGGUGGCGAGCGUUAUCCGGAUUUACUGGGUGUAAAGGGAACGUGGACGGCAUGGCAAGUCAGAUGUGAAAGCCCGGGGCUCAACCCCGGGACUGCAUUUGAAACUGUCAGGCUGGAGUGCAGGAGAGGUAAGCGGAAUUCCUAGUGUAGCGGUGAAAUGCGUAGAUAUUAGGAAGAACACCAGUGGCGAAGGCGAUUCUCUGGACUGUAACUGACGCUGAGGCUCGAAAGCGUGGGGAGCAAACAGG